UACGUAGGGUGCAAGCGUUAAUCGGAAUUACUGGGCGUAAAGCGUCCGCAGGUGGCUAUACAAGUCUGCUGUUAAAGCGUGGGGCUUAACUCCAUACAGGCAGUGGAAACUGUAAAGCUAGAGUCUGGUAGGGGUCACGGGAAUUCCCAGUGUAGCGGUGAAAUGCGUAGAUAUUGGGAGGAACACCAGUGGCGAAGGCGGCUACCUGGACCGGUUCUGACGCUGAGGCGCGAAAGCGUGGGUAGCAAACAGG
RNAcentral lists this ribosomal RNA (253 nucleotides) under uncultured bacterium. Its description in RNAcentral is "partial 16S ribosomal RNA". It matches the Rfam family "Bacterial small subunit ribosomal RNA", at positions 524 to 776 of the family's 1533-position model. The record is from RNAcentral.